GCGCAGCAGUCGCGAAACCUCCGCAAUACACGAAAGUGUGACGGGGCCAUCCCGAGUGCCGUCCGCUGAGGACGACUUUUCCCCAGUGUACACAGCUGGGGGAAUAAGGAGAGGGCAAGCCUGGUGUCAGCCGCCGCGGUAAUACCAGCUCUCCGAGUGGUGGGGACGCUUAUUGGGCCUAAAGCAUCCGUAGCCGGCUGGGCAAGUCCUCCGUUAAAUCCAACGAUUCAAUCGUUGGGCUGCGGGGGAUACUGUCCAGCUUGGGGGCGGGAGAGGCCGACGGUAUUCCCGGGGUAGGGGUGAAAGUCCUAUAAUCCCGGGAGGACCACCAGUGGCGAAGGCUGUCGGCUAGAACGCGCCCGACGGUGAGGGGAUGAAAAGCUGGGGGGAGCGAACCGGAUUAGAUACCCGUGUAGU
Molecule: ribosomal RNA, 417 nt
Filed under: uncultured microorganism
Description: bacterial SSU rRNA
Rfam family: Archaeal small subunit ribosomal RNA
Source: RNAcentral